GAUGAACGCUGGCGGCGUGCCUAAUACAUGCAAGUCGAGCGAACAGACGAGGAGCUUGCUCCUCUGACGUUAGCGGCGGACGGGUGAGUAACACGUGAAUAACCUACCUAUAAGACUGGGAUAACUUCGGGAAACCGGAGCUAAUACCGGAUAAUAUAUUGAACCGCAUGGUUCAAUAGUGAAAGACGGUUUUGCUGUCACUUAUAGAUGGAUCCGCGCCGCAUUAGCUAGUUGGUAAGGUAACGGCUUACCAAGGCAACGAUGCGUAGCCGACCUGAGAGGGUGAUCGGGCACACUGGAACUGAGACACGGUCCAGACUCCUACGGGAGGCAGCAGUAGGGAAUCUUCCGCAAUGGGCGAAAGCCUGACGGGGCAACGCCGCGUGAGUGAUGAAGGUCUUCGGAUCGUAAAACUCUGUUAUUAGGGAAGAACAAAUGUGUAAGUAACUAUGCACGUCUUGACGGUACCUAAUCAGAAAGCCACGGCUAACUACGUG
RNAcentral lists this ribosomal RNA (497 nucleotides) under uncultured bacterium. RNAcentral's name for it is "partial 16S ribosomal RNA". It matches the Rfam family "Bacterial small subunit ribosomal RNA", at positions 28 to 507 of the family's 1533-position model. The record is from RNAcentral.